RNAcentral lists this long non-coding RNA (219 nucleotides) under Elaeis guineensis (African oil palm). RNAcentral describes it as "long non-coding RNA (EGUI_LNC074986)". Lineage: Eukaryota; Viridiplantae; Streptophyta; Magnoliopsida; Arecales; Arecaceae. The record is from RNAcentral.
UGCUCUAUUUUUGUACCUACUGUAACACUCUCAAUGAAGGGUUUGAUGUAACUAUAUACUUUUACAAAGAAAUUACCUUCUACUGAAACGCAAUUCUCCAAUUGGUAAGAACUGUGGAAGAUCAGAUCAUUUUAAAGUGUAUCUGGUCAAAGCAUAGAGUGGAGUGCUUGUGCUCUAUUUCACGGGACUUCAAGACGUAAGAUAAACUUUGUAGAGACU